This 468-nucleotide ribosomal RNA is filed under the name uncultured bacterium. Its description in RNAcentral is "partial 16S ribosomal RNA". It matches the Rfam family "Bacterial small subunit ribosomal RNA", at positions 28 to 507 of the family's 1533-position model. The record is from RNAcentral.
GACGAACGCUGGCGGCGUGCUUAACACAUGCAAGUCGAACGGAAAGGCCCUGCUUUUGUGGGGUGCUCGAGUGGCGAACGGGUGAGUAACACGUGAGUAACCUGCCCUUGACUUUGGGAUAACUUCAUGAAACUGGGGCUAAUACCGGAUAGGAGCUCCUGCUGCAUGGUGGGGGUUGGAAAGUUUCGGCGGUUGGGGAUGGACUCGCGGCUUAUCAGCUUGUUGGUGGGGUAGUGGCUUACCAAGGCUUUGACGGGUAGCCGGCCUGAGAGGGUGACCGGCCACAUUAGGACUGAGAUACGGCCCAGACUCCUACGGGAGGCAGCAGUGGGGAAUAUUGCACAAUGGGCGGAAGCCUGAGGCAGCAACGCAGCGUGCGGGAUGACGGGCUUCGGGUUGUAAACCGAUGUCGCCUGUGACGAAGCGUGAGUGACGGUAAUGGGUAAAGAAGCACCGGCUAACUACGUG